AGUUCUUCAGUGGCAAGG
This 18-nucleotide microRNA is filed under the name Sus scrofa (pig). Its description in RNAcentral is "ssc-mir63". Lineage: Eukaryota; Metazoa; Chordata; Mammalia; Artiodactyla; Suidae. The record is from RNAcentral.